CGGAUCUUAAGCUCACCCCUUAUCCAAUUCAUCCGAGCUCGCUAAAGAUGGACUCGACGACGGUUCGGUCAUACAACUGUCGUCUAUACUUUUAGCGACGGACAACCCCUUAUCCAAUUCAUCCGAGCUCGCUAAAGAUGGACUCGACGACGGUUCGGUCAUACAACUGUCGUCUAUACUUUUAGCGACGGACAACAUGUCCGUCGCUAAAAGUAUAGACGACAGUUGUAUAACCGAAAAGUAUAGACGACAGUUGUAUAACCGAACCGUGGUAUGAGUGUGAAUGGGGAUAGAAGCAGUCCCAAAUUGAAGCUGAGGAAGAGUCCUCGUUGCAGGAGGUAGGGUAGAAAGUGGAUCCACUAAAAUAGUAGCAGGUGCGCUUACCUUUACUACUGGUGAUUUCUCUUGCUCAGAUCGCUUGAAGGCAGCUAAAAUCUCUGAUAAUUUUUUAGUCAAGUCUUCAUUUGAGUUGUGCAACUUCUGAUUCAGGCUUGUAACUUCUGAUUCUGUUCCUUAAGAGUGAUUUUGAGAUGUUUGUAGUAGCUCUUGAACCUGAUCCAAACGUCCCUCCAUCGCCUUGAGAUCCUUUUCAUGUUUCUGUAGGCUGAGCUUCGAUGUGGUCUCCGCCAUAGCUGGCCCAGGGUAAGCUUUGAUACCAAUUUGUUAUGUAGAUGCUAAUAAUGAAAAUAAAACAUAACAUAAAGGAAAACAUGAGAAAGAGCAAGGAAUUAACCGAUAAUGGAAAUUUGCAUAGAUUUCUAGAUAAACAUGAUUUCUACAAUAAUGAGCUAAAUAUAAGUCUCCUUUAUAAUAUUGACAAAAUACUAACAACUCCCUCCUAUAAUAAAUUGACAAGUGUCAUUGAAUCUAUACUCAUUUUAUGCAAGCUAAACGGUGUCGUUAGCAUAGUUUGAGC
This 916-nucleotide long non-coding RNA is filed under the name Panax ginseng (ginseng). Its description in RNAcentral is "long non-coding RNA (PGIN_LNC002788)". The record is from RNAcentral. Lineage: Eukaryota; Viridiplantae; Streptophyta; Magnoliopsida; Apiales; Araliaceae.